UUAACUUUUCUCUUGACUGAACUUGACCUUUCACAUGAAUUUACUUUUACUCUGUUUUCACAAGUCUGGUCACAGCUGUUUAUAUGUCUAUCACUUAGGCCUUCUACAAAUCUCCAUAGCCUCAACAUCAAUGAAUUACAAACACAAUAUAACUUAAUUAAUAAUACUACCUACACUAAAUAGUCUUUUAUAUCUGACAAUCUAUAUGGUUUGCAUUUUGUUUUUUUGCUAAAUAUCACUGUUUGUAACUUUUUGCAGAAUGAGAUUUUUAAAAAUUAGAACAGGGUUCAUCAAGUCCUGGGAACCUCAUGGAUUUGCAAGUUCAAAUUCCAAUCUGGGAACUUUUUGAAAAAUCUCACUGUAGUUAUGGUUCUUUUCUGGGUGAAACUGGAACCAACAGGUGGAGUAGUCUAUAUUGGAUUAGAAGUGAUUAUGGCCUGGAUCUGCCUCAAGCAUAGGACAGGAUGUUGUUUAGGUCUCUUUGCUGAGGGCCUUGAUGAGGAUCAAAACAUUGUCCAGACUUGCAUUGCUGUCAUAUGGUGCCUGAGAAACUUCAUAUCCAACUCUAUAAGUGAUUUGUAAAUUUUCAUACAGUUUAAAUAAAAUGAGUAGUUUUGGCAGUCAAACUUUUAACCAGUUA
This is a long non-coding RNA of Limulus polyphemus (Atlantic horseshoe crab), 640 nucleotides long. RefSeq lists it as uncharacterized. The transcript is spliced from 2 exons. Lineage: Eukaryota; Metazoa; Arthropoda; Merostomata; Xiphosura; Limulidae. The record is from RefSeq and is a predicted model, not a curated record.